GCUACUUUUCCUUUCAGCCACACUGCUAAGGGCACCAUGCGGAAGCCUGGUAUCCGACUAAUGCUCACCAAGUGUUACAAGGCUUGAGCGCAGGGAAAUAUGCAACCUUGUGACCCUGACUCAGAAUAGCCAAACUCCAUCUGCUCUGAAACUUUAAAUGGUAAGAACGCCUCCAUUUCUUACUGGACAUAUUUGGAGGAUUUUAUCCAGGGAAAGCUCAGAAACUGCAAGUACAGAAUCUCACAAAACCAGAGAAGAAUGAACAGCUCUCAGUUUUGCAAACAAGGAAUCAGUGUGACAACUAAGGCUUUGGGAACUAAAGAAGGAAGGCUACUGAAAACACUCACAUGACCGGAAUUUUAUUUGCCUGGAAUCAAAGUACCAUGAUCCUUUUGCCCUUGAAAACCUCAAAUUUUAAGGGGAGGUGUGGCAGUCACAUAAAUAAAAGUGUCUACUACUGAGAGGUCGUUUUGUGAAUUAUCACAAAGGAGU
This is a long non-coding RNA of Serinus canaria (Common canary), 492 nucleotides long. RefSeq lists it as uncharacterized. The record is from RefSeq and is a predicted model, not a curated record. NCBI's taxonomy places the organism in Eukaryota, Metazoa, Chordata, Aves, Passeriformes, Fringillidae. The transcript has 3 exons.